Larimichthys crocea (large yellow croaker) is the source of this 300-nucleotide long non-coding RNA. RefSeq lists it as uncharacterized. NCBI's taxonomy places the organism in Eukaryota, Metazoa, Chordata, Actinopteri, Sciaenidae. The record is from RefSeq and is a predicted model, not a curated record. The transcript has 3 exons.
CAGUCUUUCACCUCCUCCUCCUCCUCCUCCAUCCACCCCGCUGCAUCCUUCAGAGCUGCGAGAGCGCGAGCGAGCACCGCCGCCGUCAAGUUACCGUGUGAAAGCUCGCGACUUCCUGAAAUGACCGUGGGACACUGCAUUCUGGGUAAUGAAGUUUUCACCGUGAUUGCCUUGCGGAUCACAGAUUGCCUCUCUCUUGAGAUGACCCUGGACAAUCCCAGUAGUAAGGAACAGGGAGGAAGGAAGCAGGUGCCAAUAUACUGUGUCCAUCUUUCCUCUCCAUGGUGAAUCCCACUGAGU